AGUACUGCUCACCGCACCCACUUUCUAGCCACACAAGCAGCAUCUGCGAAGGAGUUGCAACCACGGUGGCUGCCUGGGGAUCCUGCCUUCUGGUGGGGCCGGUUAGUGGACAGCAAGAAGGACAGGAAAAGUUGACUUGGAAGCUCAAGUGACAUCUUGCCCCAGAUCUGGACUCUGGCUGGAGGAGGCCACCCUCGCUUUUACAGAGCAGGGACACGAGACAGCACGUAACACUGGGGAUGGCCUGUUGGUCUGGCAGACUGCACAGAAGUCGAGCCUGGCCCGUCGCCCAGGGAGAGUCAGCUGGGUCACAGCCCCAGCUCCCGGGACCAUGUGCCAGGUACCAAAGCAGCUUCGGGGUCACCCAAGGUGUCUUGGACUCUGCGUGAGAUGUUACUCUGUGCUCCUGUCUCCGAACUACAGCAGCAGGACACACGCUCCAGGCGCAGCUCUGACCCUACUCCGGCAGCUGCUCAGAAACUUGGCCUCUCACUGGAUGUGGUAGCGCACGCCUGUAAUCCCAGAACCCUGGUGGCUGAGGCAGGAGGAUCACUGUGAGUUUGAGGACAGCCUGGGCUACGCAGUGAGACCCUGUCUCAAAAAAACCCCCAACCCAACAAAAUACUUGCAGAAUGCUGGCUUGCACCUCCUGGUACAGUGGAGGAAGGAGCUGGCCCUUGGGCAAGAGGGCAGAGGCAAACCCUGAGUGGGCAGCGCCAGAGCAAUAAACUCCUGGCCCAGUCGCGAUGACUGCUGCCCUAAAGGGUGUAAGCAGCUUACACUCUCACCAGGCAAGGAGCCUCCCUCUGCCCACAUCCUGCCAACGCUUGGACUUCAUGCCUGUUUUUCUUUGCCAACCUGAUGAGUAGCUUUUGUUAACAUCUGCCUGGUUCCUGUGCAGUCACACACCUUUCAUACAUUUAUUGACAUACAAAUUUCCUCUACUGCAAAAACACCCAGCUGCAGUCUUUCUGCCUUUUUUUUUUUUUUUUUUGUCUUUUUUAUAUCGGUACCAAGAAUCGAACUCACGACUGCCUGCUUGCAAGGCAGGCGCUUAUGCCGCUGAGCUAAAUCCCCAGCUCCUCUUCUUGCCUUCUUACAAAUUUGUUUUUUCUUUUGUUUUGUUUUGUUUUGUUUUUUAAUACCAGGGCCCAAACUCAUGACUUUGUGCUUGCCAGGCAGGCGCUGUGCCGCUAAGCUAUAUCCCUGACAUUUGUUUAUUUUUGGAGAUGGGGUCUUACUAUGAAGCCAAGGCUUACCUGGAACUCAGAGUGAUCCUCCUGCUUCAUCCUCCCAAAAUGUUCUUAUUUAUUUCUAGAAGAUCUGUAUAUAUUCAGGACUCUAAUUCUGAAUACGUGUAUUCUCACCCGGCAAGGACCUAGUCCUACUCCAUCUUUUCUUUGUUCAGUUACCUCUCCUGGGCAGCAUUUUUCUUUCCUUUGAAAUAGGUUUAUCUUUCAGAGCAGCUGUAGGUUCACUGCAAGGUGAGCUGACGGUACUGAGAGUCCCCACGCCUCCGGGGGGAUCAUCCCAACCCUUGAAGCGCAGGUGGCCAGGUCCUCCCCCGCUGGCCUGGGGGUUGCAGGAUGUCAGCUCUGGGAGGGGCUGCAGGGAGACAGUGGCUGCCAAAGGGCUUCGAGAGCUCAGGGCCUUUUUCCCUGUCUUACAACAUAGCCCUGGCUGGCCUGAACGCAUAGUGAUCUUCCUGCCUCAGCCUCCCGAGUAGCCUCCCGCAAGCCUGUGCCACUAUAUCCAGCAACAAUUUUUAGGAAAUAUACAUCGUUGAUAAAAAAAAAAAAAAAAAUACUGAUGUUCCCCCAAAAUAUUAACAGGAUUUAGUUCUGGGAUCACAAAAGAUUUAAUUUUCCUCUUUAUGUUUUUCUAUACUAUUCAAUAUUCCCAAAAUAUAGCUGAGCAUGGUGGCAUGGGCUUGUAGUCUCAGCUACCCAUGAGGCUGAGGCAGGAAGAUGGCCUGAGCCCAGGAGUUUGAGCAUAGCCUAGCAACACAGCCAAACACUGGCAAGAAAAAAAGUUUAACUUUUGUAAUUAGAAAAAAAAUUAUUGAAAAAUAAGAGCAACGUCUAAGCCACAGGAGUCUUGGUGACGAGCGAGGGUGGAAGUUAGGCGGCUUGGCACACGGGAGUGCCCAGGGUAGAGGAGCCUUGCCUGGGCUCUGCCAGCUGUGCGUGGCUGCUCCGUGCCUCAGUCUCCUCAACGAUAACAAAGAGGUGAGUGUAGACGCCCCUGCAGGUGUUGCGCGACACCACAAGCCAAGCGGGUGGCUCUCAGCAGAGUCCUCACUGCCGCAAAGGCGGCACUGACAGCUGCUCACGCACUGGAGUGGCCUCACUGUGCUAACAGGCCAGGGGCGGCGGGGAGCACCUGUAACCCCAGCACCCGGGAGGCUGAGGCAGGAGGAUUGCUGUGCAUUCAAGGCCAACCUGGGCUCCGUAGCAAGACCCUGUCUCAAAAAGCAAAAGCUACAAAAACAGGGCUUGAGAAAAGUUUUGUUCUGUUUUCAAGGUUAGAGAGAGAGAGAUGAGUCAUUUCUGAAGCACCACUGAUGUGGACCAGUGCUCAGGGAGGUUUGCAAACUUGCAAGCACACUUCUGUCUCCCCUUCAGGAAAUCCCAAGCUCCUGGAGGCCAAGGUACCCACCUGUCUUUCACUCCCCCUUUAUGAGGUGGGAGCAAAAAGUAGCAUGUUGGUGUCGCUUAAUUUUAAUGUAUUACUGUAAAAGACACUGCCAUAAUCUCUUCAGAAUCCUCAUGCUCACUUUGAUGCUCACUUUAAGUGUUCUCAUCCGCUGUUCUUGAGGCUUCCUGAAGCUCCUCUGGAAGCCCACUUUCAUGUGGGUCUGUCGUCGCCUUGUUUGGUUUUUUGUCUUUUUUUUUUUAAUCGGUACCAGGGAUCAAACUCACGACUGCCUGCUUGCAAGGCAGGCGCGUAAUGCCACUGAGCUAAAUCCUAAGCCCUGUUGUUGCUUUGGAAUAGCUGUGUCCAUGUCUGUCUGGAACUGAUUCAGAACGUUGACCUUUCGUGGUCAUUUUGACUUGGGAAGCCCCAGAGGUCACAUGGUGCCAGACUGGUGACCGAGGACAACGCGCCACACCGCGGUGGUUUUCAGCCUUCCUUGUCGGGGGAUGGCCCUGGGCAACAGCGUUCACAGCACUUUUCACCACAGUUCAUAGAGACGCUCCUGAAAGAGGACUUUGGAACUGCUUCAGAAAGCGGCAAGGAUGUAGGAUAAGUGUGUUCAAAUGGCGAGGAUUUGAAGGAGCUUCACAACGAUGUGACUCUGGCUAUAAUUAAUUUUUUUUUUUUUUUUGGUCUUUUUAUCGGUACCGGGGAUCGAACGCAGGACUGCCUGUUUGCAAGGCAGGCGCUUAUGCCGCUGAGCUAAAUCCCCAGCCCCUAUAAUGAAUUUCUUUCCUGAAAUACACACCGCAUAUUAUGAUCAGCUUUGCUACACGAACCUAUGGCUCACAGCAGCACGCUGGUUACUUGUGCUCACUACCAGAAUUCACCUCUCACUACAGCAUGACAGAGCCUGAAACCUUAAGGCGACCGACAGCAGAGCAGAGGCAGAGGGACAGGGCGGCAGCGGAUUGGACCAUGGUAAGCAGUACACAGGGGUUUUAGAAGGGGCCUUGGGCAAGAAAUCUGUGUGGCUGGCUUCUGGGGAGACCUGACUGCCACCCUCACGGGUCCUGGGGCUGCAGUGGGGUUGUGUCUGGGCCAAGUGUGACGUCCUCGUUCAGUUCACAGCUCUCUUAGACAUAAGUCCCCCUCAGCUGUCACCAGCUGUCACAACACAGGGCCUGCUGGAGACCAGCAACCUCAGCAAGACUGAUUUAGCACCUGACACCCUCCUUGAAGUCCCCUGAGGCCCCAUUGCUGUGUGGGCCCAGCUGGUCUUUGUCUCCACCUGGCUCUGCCUCUUGCCAUGUUCCCUGCCAACCUGAGCCUGCUAUCUGCACCACUACAGGCAUGAGCCACCACUUCCAGCCAGGGACAAGCCCUGCUCGGCACUGCUGUCAUGCAGGGACAGUGACCUGCCAGCCCUGGGCCUUGCCUGGGGACAGAUCUGUCCAGGCCACCACACCAUGGAGAACCAUUCGCUGCUGGCAAUGAGCAUGCUGUCGGGGUGAUGCUGGGCAGCUCGCCUGGCCACCGUGGGCCUGCCUCCAGCUCCAUGACAAUUGACACCUCUCUAUCGGGGCCACUGUGAGUGGUGAUGGCGGAAAUGAGUGUCUCCCAGUUAUGAGCCCUGCAAGUUCCCGCGGGGAUUCUCAUCGUAUCCAUGCAUCACCUGCUUCUCUUUUUCCUCAGUGCUUGCCACGACAGUGACCCAUGUCACUUCACAGAGGCUCAGGAGCACAGAGCAUGUUCAACCUACUGUCCCUCCUCUUCCUUUGAUCUUUUAAAAAAUGCCUGUCUCCAGGUCCUUGAAUUCUUGGACAGGUCAAGCCUGUUUUGAACUAGCUACAUUUUCUACUAGUCAUUAAAAUAAUGCUCAAUUGUUCAAAUAGAAAGGCUCCUAGAAGCCAGGCACAGUGGUGCACACCUGGAACACCAGCACUUGGGAGGCUGAGGCAGGAGGAUCACCGUGAGUUCAAUAUCAAUGCCUGGGUUACACAGUGACACCCUGUCUCAGAAAACCAAAAAAUAAAAUAAGAUCAAAGUUCAACCACCCAGAUAGGAUGGGUUCUGGGGACUCAGCUUGCUCGGGAAGACCUAAGAUACGGACAAGAGACCUCAAGCCUGAGUCACCACGCUAGAGAUCUCAGGUGGACCUGUGUGCUGGGAGAGGAGGCAACAGCCUCACAGAGACUGGGGCCAGGGCCUCCUCCCUCCCAGGGCCCAGGAGAGGGGGACAGGGGGCACAGGGAGCCCUGGGGCUGAGUGUGGGGCGGUGCCAGCUCACGGCAGGAGUCUGUCCCUCCUAUCACUGUCACCCUGCACACCCACAGCCAGUCAGUGGCUGAGAACGGGAGAGGAAGGCUGAACCCAGGCACAGGAGCACAGAGCUCAGCUCGUCAUGAGCAGCAGCAGGCGUGACUCUGGGCUCAGCCCCGUCCUGGCAAGAUCCAGGCACCUUGGGGACUACCGUUUGGAGGGAUGUGGUUGAAAAAUAUGGUAAUUGUUAAGGAAAACUAUUACAGUAACAGACGCAUUGCCAUGAAUCCCCCUCAGGAUCCCCUUCAAACACACUUGUCCCUGCAGCCUCGCCUCUUCCUGCAGCAGGCUGGAGUCCUCUUUCCUAAGGGUCUUUAGUUAUGCAGUCCUGGCUGCCUCGAUGUCCUGAACUGAUUUAAAACAUUGACCUUUCAUGGUACCUUUGACUCUGGGGAAGAGCGGAAGUCACAUGGUGCCAGAUCUGGUGAAUAACGUGAGGAAGACCCAGUGCCUUUCCACUGCGUGGCACCUAGCAGCAACAAUCAUCGUGUUUUUGAUUACAGCUUGUAAAAACACUCAGGAAAGGGGCUUUUAGAACUGCUUCUGAAAACGGCAAGAACAUGGGAAAUGUGUUUUGAAAGGGAAAGUUUUUUAUUUUGUUUUGUUUUUGUACUGGGGAUCGAACUCAUGACCUCAAGCUUACCAGGCAAGUGCUUGAGUUGCCAAGCUAAGUCCCCAGCCUGGGAGAGUGCUUAGGGACUUCACUGUAAUCUCUUUUACUGUAACAAAGAUUUUUGAUUUAAGCAUUUA
Cavia porcellus (domestic guinea pig) is the source of this 5709-nucleotide long non-coding RNA. RefSeq lists it as uncharacterized. The transcript is spliced from 2 exons. The record is from RefSeq and is a predicted model, not a curated record. NCBI's taxonomy places the organism in Eukaryota, Metazoa, Chordata, Mammalia, Rodentia, Caviidae.